RNAcentral lists this ribosomal RNA (468 nucleotides) under uncultured bacterium. RNAcentral describes it as "partial 16S ribosomal RNA". It matches the Rfam family "Bacterial small subunit ribosomal RNA", at positions 28 to 507 of the family's 1533-position model. The record is from RNAcentral.
GACGAACGCUGGCGGCGUGCUUAACACAUGCAAGUCGAACGGAAAGGCCCUGCUUUUGUGGGGUGCUCGAGUGGCGAACGGGUGAGUAACACGUGAGUAACCUGCCCUUGACUUUGGGAUAACUUCAGGAAACUGGGGCUAAUACCGGAUAGGAGCUCCUGCUGCAUGGUGGGGGUUGGAAAGUUUCGGCGGUUGGGGAUGGACUCGCGGCUUAUCAGCUUGUUGGUGGGGUAGUGGCUUACCAAGGCUUUGACGGGUAGCCGGCCUGAGAGGGUGACCGGCCACAUUGGGACUGAGAUACGGCCCGGACUCCUACGGGAGGCAGCAGUGGGGGAUAUUGCACAAUGGGCGGAAGCCUGAUGCAGCAACGCCGCGUGCGGGAUGACGGCCUUCGGGUUGUAAACCGCUUUCGCCUGUGACGAAGCGUGAGUGACGGUAAUGGGUAAAGAAGCACCGGCUAACUACGUG